Molecule: ribosomal RNA, 594 nt
Filed under: uncultured bacterium
Lineage: Bacteria
Description: bacterial SSU rRNA
Rfam family: Bacterial small subunit ribosomal RNA
Source: RNAcentral
AGUUGGUGGGGUAAUGGCCCACCAAGCCCGUGAUCGGUAGCCGGCCUGAGAGGGUGAACGGCCACAUUGGAACUGAGACACGGUCCAAACUCCUACGGGAGGCAGCAGUGGGGAAUAUUGGGCAAUGGGGGGAACCCUGACCCAGCAACGCCGCGUGAGGGAAGAAGGUUUUCGGAUUGUAAACCUCUGUUCUUGGGGAAGAGUAGAAGACGGUACCCAAGGAGGAAGCCCCGGCUAACUACGUGCCAGCAGCCGCGGUAAUACGUAGGGGGCGAGCGUUGUCCGGAAUGAUUGGGCGUAAAGGGCGCGUAGGCGGCUUUGCAAGUCAGUAGUGGAAGUCCAUUUUUCAAGGAUGGAAGUGCUACAGAAACUGCGGAGCUUGAGUGCAGGAGAGGUUAUCGGAAUUCCCGGUGUAGCGGUGAAAUGCGUAGAGAUCGGGAGGAACACCAGUGGCGAAGGCGGGUAACUGGACUGCAACUGACGCUGAGGCGCGAAAGUGUGGGGAGCAAACAGGAUUAGAUACCCUGGUAGUCCACACUGUAAACGAUGAAUGCUAGGUGUAGGAGGUAUCGACCCCUUCUGUGCCGCAGUAAA